Long non-coding RNA from Alligator sinensis (Chinese alligator), 1451 nucleotides. RefSeq lists it as uncharacterized. The transcript is spliced from 3 exons. Lineage: Eukaryota; Metazoa; Chordata; Crocodylia; Alligatoridae. The record is from RefSeq and is a predicted model, not a curated record.
CUAAGACACCAGACCUUUGACGAGGCUCAGGUAACCUCUGACAGUGCAUAUGGUGCUAACAAAGAGUCCCUGUCAGCCUUUGUAGAAGACUGAGACUUCAGUCAGCAUUGACUUUCCAGAAGAUGAGGAAGUGUUGGUAAAGAGCUAGACUGUGGUUCUUCGGAUCUAUCAGUUCAUGGAGGAACAGAAGAAACUCAGCAUGCAGAUAAAAAAAGAUGAAAACAGAAGGAGCUGCAUCCCAGAAGUUGUGAUCACACAGGCAGAUGAGACCUAGCUACUUUUUCAGUUCCAAAGAUCUUGUGUGUGGAACCAGAGGUCAUAAGCUCUACUUCCCAUGCUACUGGUAGCUGAGGACUAUCCUGUCUGUGUCAGUAUGCAGUUAGGGAUUAUUUCAAUUCUCCACUGAUCACCCAAGGAAGGAUUCUGAGCUUAGUUGCCUAAUGGGACAGGACAUUUUUGAAUGACAGAAAUGGAUAUCCUUUUCAAGCUGAAUUGACGGGAAGGAAAUGGAGCAAAAUAGAUCUCCAGUGCUGCCCCACAUAUCUUGGUACAUCUUUGCUGAAGGAUGUUGGCACUUGGAGGAAUGCAGCUAACAAAAUGACAUUUUGUAUCAAAAUAUGUGGCCUGUUCUCUCUCUCUCUCCCUAUUUUAUUCACUUCUCUUCAGAGUACCUGGAAUUAAGGCACUUCACUACCCAGAUGUGCUAACUCUCUCCUUUCUGAUUGGCACUGUAGACAGCUUCCAGUGUCAUUGUAAAUCUCAGUUGGCACUGUUUGUAUCAGUCUUCCUGCAUCCUAUUAUAAGAUGAACAUUUCAUUCCACUUCUUUGUUUUCCCUAAGUUUUCAUUCUCUGAGAGUAAACUGUUUGUGCCAAAAUCAGUGCAUUAAUUCAGAAAGGCUAGCAGCAGUAUGAAGUCAGUCUUAAGGCAAUAACAUUAAAAGCAAUUAUAAUAUUGCUGGUUUGUAGAGAACCAAAUAUUUAAUGUUGUAUCUGUAGUAAGGGGCACUUUCCCAGGAUAGACACAAGUUGGUGGAAGGUCUUCAUCAUUUUCAUUGGGCUGCAGUUUCUGAAGGAGACUCAGAGGAUGGACACACGUGCAUUUGGACCUGCUUCAACCAGGGUUAAAGCUGGAGCAGUUUUGCUACAUUUGUAUUGUUCCUGGCUUUUCUACACAUAACAAUUAGAACAUAACAGCUGCCACCCUUUUGAAAUGUCCCCCUUUUUAAAUGUCUCCAAAUGUACAUUUGUCCAUACCCUCAGGCAAUUAGCUGCUCAGCUUCCCUGGAAAUUAAUUUGGAGUUAAGAGGCCAAACUCCUUUAGACCUCUUAGAAAAAUAUGUUGUUCUCACUUCUUUCCUACUUGAGAAAAAUAUGUGACUACAACCCAGGCACAUUUUCUUCAUCUAGGAAAGCUAAAAGGUAGGUCACUUUUUAAAAUCAUCCAACAUAC